GGGUUGUGAGGUUAAGCGACUAAGCGUACACGGUGGAUGCCCUGGCAGUCAGAGGCGAUGAAGGACGUGCUAAUCUGCGAUAAGCGCCGGUAAGGUGAUAUGAACCGUUAUAACCGGCGAUUUCCGAAUGGGGAAACCCAGUGUGACUCGUCACACUAUCAUUAACUGAAUCCAUAGGUUAAUGAGGCGAACCGGGGGAACUGAAACAUCUAAGUACCCCGAGGAAAAGAAAUCAACCGAGAUUCCCCCAGUAGCGGCGAGCGAACGGGGAGGAGCCCAGAGCCUGAAUCAGCAUGUGUGUUAGUGGAAGCGUCUGGAAAGGCGCGCGAUACAGGGUGACAGCCCCGUACACAAAAGCGCAUGUGCUGUGAGCUCGAUGAGUAGGGCGGGACACGUGGUAUCCUGUCUGAAUAUGGGGGGACCAUCCUCCAAGGCUAAAUACUCCUGACUGACCGAUAGUGAACCAGUACCGUGAGGGAAAGGCGAAAAGAACCCCGGCGAGGGGAGUGAAAAAGAACCUGAAACCGUGUACGUACAAGCAGUGGGAGCACCCUUUGGGGUGUGACUGCGUACCUUUUGUAUAAUGGGUCAGCGACUUAUAUUCUGUAGCAAGGUUAACCGAAUAGGGGAGCCGGAGGGAAACCGAGUCUUAAUUGGGCGUUAAGUUGCAGGGUAUAGACCCGAAACCCGGUGAUCUAGCCAUGGGCAGGUUGAAGGUUGGGUAACACUAACUGGAGGACCGAACCGACUAAUGUUGAAAAAUUAGCGGAUGACCUGUGGCUGGGGGUGAAAGGCCAAUCAAACCGGGAGAUAGCUGGUUCUCCCCGAAAGCUAUUUAGGUAGCGCCUCGUGAAUUCAUCUCCGGGGGUAGAGCACUGUUUCGGCUAGGGGGCCAUCCCGGCUUACCAACCCGAUGCAAACUGCGAAUACCGGAGAAUGUUAUCACGGGAGACACACGGCGGGUGCUAACGUCCGUCGUGAAGAGGGAAACAACCCAGACCGCCAGCUAAGGUCCCAAAGUCAUGGUUAAGUGGGAAACGAUGUGGGAAGGCCCAGACAGCCAGGAUGUUGGCUUAGAAGCAGCCAUCAUUUAAAGAAAGCGUAAUAGCUCACUGGUCGAGUCGGCCUGCGCGGAAGAUGUAACGGGGCUAAACCAUGCACCGAAGCUGCGGCAGCGACGCUGAUGCGUUGUUGGGUAGGGGAGCGUUCUGUAAGCCUGCGAAGGUGGCCUGUGAGGGUUGCUGGAGGUAUCAGAAGUGCGAAUGCUGACAUAAGUAACGAUAAAGCGGGUGAAAAGCCCGCUCGCCGGAAGACCAAGGGUUCCUGUCCAACGUUAAUCGGGGCAGGGUGAGUCGACCCCUAAGGCGAGGCCGAAAGGCGUAGUCGAUGGGAAACGGGUUAAUAUUCCCGUACUUGGUGUUACUGCGAAGGGGGGACGGAGAAGGCUAUGUUGGCCGGGCGACGGUUGUCCCGGUUUAAGCGUGUAGGUGUGUGUUCCAGGUAAAUCCGGUUCACUUUAACACUGAGGCGUGAUGACGAGGCACUACGGUGCUGAAGCAACAAAUGCCCUGCUUCCAGGAAAAGCCUCUAAGCAUCAGGUAACAUCAAAUCGUACCCCAAACCGACACAGGUGGUCAGGUAGAGAAUACCAAGGCGCUUGAGAGAACUCGGGUGAAGGAACUAGGCAAAAUGGUGCCGUAACUUCGGGAGAAGGCACGCUGACACGUAGGUGAAGUGAUUUACUCAUGGAGCUGAAGUCAGUCGAAGAUACCAGCUGGCUGCAACUGUUUAUUAAAAACACAGCACUGUGCAAACACGAAAGUGGACGUAUACGGUGUGACGCCUGCCCGGUGCCGGAAGGUUAAUUGAUGGGGUCAGCGCAAGCGAAGCUCCUGAUCGAAGCCCCGGUAAACGGCGGCCGUAACUAUAACGGUCCUAAGGUAGCGAAAUUCCUUGUCGGGUAAGUUCCGACCUGCACGAAUGGCGUAAUGAUGGCCAGGCUGUCUCCACCCGAGACUCAGUGAAAUUGAACUCGCUGUGAAGAUGCAGUGUACCCGCGGCAAGACGGAAAGACCCCGUGAACCUUUACUAUAGCUUGACACUGAACAUUGAGCCUUGAUGUGUAGGAUAGGUGGGAGGCUUUGAAGUGUGGACGCCAGUCUGCAUGGAGCCGACCUUGAAAUACCACCCUUUAAUGUUUGAUGUUCUAACGUGGACCCGUGAUCCGGGUUGCGGACAGUGUCUGGUGGGUAGUUUGACUGGGGCGGUCUCCUCCUAAAGAGUAACGGAGGAGCACGAAGGUUGGCUAAUCCUGGUCGGACAUCAGGAGGUUAGUGCAAUGGCAUAAGCCAGCUUGACUGCGAGCGUGACGGCGCGAGCAGGUGCGAAAGCAGGUCAUAGUGAUCCGGUGGUUCUGAAUGGAAGGGCCAUCGCUCAACGGAUAAAAGGUACUCCGGGGAUAACAGGCUGAUACCGCCCAAGAGUUCAUAUCGACGGCGGUGUUUGGCACCUCGAUGUCGGCUCAUCACAUCCUGGGGCUGAAGUAGGUCCCAAGGGUAUGGCUGUUCGCCAUUUAAAGUGGUACGCGAGCUGGGUUUAGAACGUCGUGAGACAGUUCGGUCCCUAUCUGCCGUGGGCGCUGGAGAACUGAGGGGGGCUGCUCCUAGUACGAGAGGACCGGAGUGGACGCAUCACUGGUGUUCGGGUUGUCAUGCCAAUGGCACUGCCCGGUAGCUAAAUGCGGAAGAGAUAAGUGCUGAAAGCAUCUAAGCACGAAACUUGCCCCGAGAUGAGUUCUCCCUGAGACUUAGAGUCUCCUGAAGGAACGUUGAAGACGACGACGUUGAUAGGCCGGGUGUGUAAGCGCAGCGAUGCGUUGAGCUAACCGGUACUAAUGAACCGUGAGGCUUAACCUUACAACGCCGAAG
RNAcentral lists this ribosomal RNA (2927 nucleotides) under Salmonella enterica subsp. enterica serovar Bredeney. RNAcentral's name for it is "23S ribosomal RNA". It matches the Rfam family "Bacterial large subunit ribosomal RNA". The record is from RNAcentral. Lineage: Bacteria; Pseudomonadati; Pseudomonadota; Gammaproteobacteria; Enterobacterales; Enterobacteriaceae.